GGCGCGCUCUGCGCGCACCGGCGGACGGCUCAGUAACACGUCGGUAACCUACCCUCGGGAGGGGGAUAACCCCGGGAAACUGGGGCUAAUCCCCCAUAGGCCUGGGGUACUGGAAGGUCCCCAGGCCGAAAGGGGCUCUGCCCGCCCGAGGAUGGGCCGGCGGCCGAUUAGGUAGUUGGUGGGGUAACGGCCCACCAAGCCGAAGAUCGGUACGGGCCAUGAGAGUGGGAGCCCGGAGAUGGACACUGAGACACGGGUCCAGGCCCUACGGGGCGCAGCAGGCGCGAAACCUCCGCAAUGCGGGCAACCGCGACGGGGGGACCCCCAGUGCCGUGGCACAGCCACGGCUUUUCCGGAGUGUAAAAAGCUCCGGGAAUAAGGGCUGGGCAAGGCCGGUGGCAGCCGCCGCGGUAAUACCGGCGGCCCAAGUGGUGGCCGCUAUUAUUGGGCCUAAAG
RNAcentral lists this ribosomal RNA (456 nucleotides) under Thermococcus sp. 9N3. RNAcentral's name for it is "bacterial SSU rRNA". It matches the Rfam family "Archaeal small subunit ribosomal RNA", at positions 62 to 515 of the family's 1478-position model. The record is from RNAcentral. Lineage: Archaea; Methanobacteriati; Methanobacteriota; Thermococci; Thermococcales; Thermococcaceae.